AGAACGAACGCUGGCGGCAGGCUUAACACAUGCAAGUCGAACGCUCGUAGCAAUACGGGAGUGGCAGACGGGUGAGUAACGCGUGGGAACGUACCCUUCGGUUCGGAAUAACCCGGGGAAACUCGGGCUAAUACCGGAUACGUCCGCAAGGAGAAAGAUUUAUCGCCGAAGGAUCGGCCCGCGUCCGAUUAGCUAGUUGGCGGGUAAUGGCCCACCAAGGCGACGAUCGGUAGCUGGUCUGAGAGGAUGAUCAGCCACACUGGGACUGAGACACGGCCCAGACUCCUACGGGAGGCAGCAGUGGGGAAUAUUGGACAAUGUGCGAAAGCCUGAUCCAGCCAUGCCGCGUGAGUGAAGAAGGCCUUAGGGUUGUAAAGCUCUUUCAGCGGGAAGAUAAUGACGGUACCCGCAGAAGAAGCCCCGGCUAACUCGUGCCAGCAGCCGC
This 445-nucleotide ribosomal RNA is filed under the name uncultured bacterium. RNAcentral describes it as "SSU rRNA". It matches the Rfam family "Bacterial small subunit ribosomal RNA", at positions 26 to 518 of the family's 1533-position model. The record is from RNAcentral.